GAUGAACGCUGGCGGCGUGCCUAAUACAUGCAAGUCGAGCGAACGGACGAGAAGCUUGCUUCUCUGAUGUUAGCGGCGGACGGGUGAGUAACACGUGGAUAACCUACCUAUAAGACUGGGAUAACUUCGGGAAACCGGAGCUAAUACCGGAUGAUAUUUUGAACCGCAUGGUUCAAAAGUGAAAGACGGUCUUGCUGUCACUUAUAGAUGGAUCCGCGCUGCAUUAGCUAGUUGGUAAGGUAACGGCUUACCAAGGCAACGAUGCAUAGCCGACCUGAGAGGGUGAUCGGCCACACGGGAACUGAGACACGGUCCAGACUCCUACGGGAGGCAGCAGUAGGGAAUCUGCCGCAAUGGGCGAAAGCCUGACGGAGCAACGCCGCGUGAGUGAUGAAGGUCUUCGGAUCGUAAAACUCUGUUAUUAGGGAAGAACAUAUGUGUAAGUAACUGUGCACAUCUUGACGGUACCUAAUCAGAAAGCCACGGCUAACUACGUG
This 497-nucleotide ribosomal RNA is filed under the name uncultured bacterium. RNAcentral describes it as "partial 16S ribosomal RNA". It matches the Rfam family "Bacterial small subunit ribosomal RNA", at positions 28 to 507 of the family's 1533-position model. The record is from RNAcentral.